GGGUUGUGAGGUUAAGCGACUAAGCGUACACGGUGGAUGCCCUGGCAGUCAGAGGCGAUGAAGGACGUGCUAAUCUGCGAAAAGCGUCGGUAAGGUGAUAUGAACCGUUAUAACCGGCGAUGUCCGAAUGGGGAAACCCAGUGCAAUUCGUUGCACUAUCGUUAACUGAAUACAUAGGUUAACGAGGCGAACCGGGGGAACUGAAACAUCUAAGUACCCCGAGGAAAAGAAAUCAACCGAGAUUCCCCCAGUAGCGGCGAGCGAACGGGGAGCAGCCCAGAGUCUGAAUCAGCUUGUGUGUUAGUGGAACGGUCUGGAAAGUCCGACGGUACAGGGUGAUAGUCCCGUACACCAAAAUGCACAGGUUGUGAACUCGAAGAGUAGGGCGGGACACGUGGUAUCCUGUCUGAAUAUGGGGGGACCAUCCUCCAAGGCUAAAUACUCCUGACUGACCGAUAGUGAACCAGUACCGUGAGGGAAAGGCGAAAAGAACCCCGGCGAGGGGAGUGAAAAAGAACCUGAAACCGUGUACGUACAAGCAGUGGGAGCACCUUCGGGUGUGACUGCGUACCUUUUGUAUAAUGGGUCAGCGACUUAUAUUCUGUAGCAAGGUUAACCGUAUAGGGGAGCCGCAGGGAAACCGAGUCUUAACUGGGCGUUAAGUUGCAGGGUAUAGACCCGAAACCCGGUGAUCUAGCCAUGGGCAGGUUGAAGGUUGGGUAACACUAACUGGAGGACCGAACCGACUAAUGUUGAAAAAUUAGCGGAUGACUUGUGGCUGGGGGUGAAAGGCCAAUCAAACCGGGAGAUAGCUGGUUCUCCCCGAAAGCUAUUUAGGUAGCGCCUCGUGAA
This 852-nucleotide ribosomal RNA is filed under the name Klebsiella pneumoniae. Its description in RNAcentral is "bacterial LSU rRNA". It matches the Rfam family "Bacterial large subunit ribosomal RNA", at positions 1 to 888 of the family's 2925-position model. Lineage: Bacteria; Pseudomonadati; Pseudomonadota; Gammaproteobacteria; Enterobacterales; Enterobacteriaceae. RNAcentral also lists the same sequence under 3 other names. The record is from RNAcentral.